CCGUGUGUGAAGAAGGUACUUCCGGAGUUGUAAAGCACUUUUGGCAGGGACGAUGAUGACGGUACCUGCAGAUAAGCCCGGCUAACUUCGUG
This 92-nucleotide ribosomal RNA is filed under the name uncultured bacterium. RNAcentral describes it as "partial 16S ribosomal RNA". The record is from RNAcentral.